Molecule: ribosomal RNA, 253 nt
Filed under: uncultured bacterium
Lineage: Bacteria
Description: partial 16S ribosomal RNA
Rfam family: Bacterial small subunit ribosomal RNA
Source: RNAcentral
UACAGAGGGUGCAAGCGUUGUUCGGAAUUAUUGGGCGUAAAGCGAGUGUAGGCGGUUAUCUAAGUCUGGUGUGAAAGCCCAGGGCUCAACCCUGGAAGUGCACUGGAUACUGGGUAACUAGAGGGCGAUAGAGGAGAACGGAAUUAAUGGUGUAGGGGUGAAAUCCGUAGAUAUCAUUAGGAACACCGAAAGCGAAGGCUGUUCUCUGGGUCGUUUCUGACGCUAAGACUCGAAAGCAUGGGUAGCAAACAGG